UUUUAUUUUAUUUUAUUUUAUUUUAUUCCAACCUACUUCUCUCCCUCACCUAACACACAUCCACCUACUCCCUCUCUCACCCACCUACCCUCAAAGCUCAUCCGUCAUAGUUAUACUUAGCAAAUUUGUUAUUCAUCACUUCACACCAAUCACCCAAUACACUUUCAUUUUUUUUAAAGAGAGAGUUGAAGCUUCAUAACUUCAUCAGCCAACCAGUCAAACAUGAGCACAUAGAGUUCAAGUUCAGAGCACCACAAUCACCGAUUCAAGGCUUUAUGAACCAAGGGGAUUAGCGCUGCUUUCCCAAGACGAGUUUAUGUGAUUAUGAUCUUCAGGCUUUGCCUAUCCAGGUUGAGCAGCUGAUGGAAUGGAAUGAUGUUGAGCGGGUGUUCCUUUGAUCAUUUCAAGAAAUGUAACCUUGAGUAUACAUCUUCAUAUGUAUAUCUCACACGUUUUCCGCUGCAAAACACUUUGAUUAGGAUAGCUCUAUGUUAUGACGUUGUGAUACGUGUUAUUGGGUAACCCACCUUAAUCAGUUCUCAUUUAUGUGUAUGUUUUAUAAGUAUCCAAAUAAUCAUAUAUGAUCCUAGCAUUUUAUCUAUGAGUGACAUUUCCAUAUACUUUAAUGUUAAGUAAUUGUCCAUUUCCA
Long non-coding RNA from Salvia miltiorrhiza (redroot sage), 649 nucleotides. RefSeq lists it as uncharacterized. Lineage: Eukaryota; Viridiplantae; Streptophyta; Magnoliopsida; Lamiales; Lamiaceae. The transcript has 3 exons. The record is from RefSeq and is a predicted model, not a curated record.